This 253-nucleotide ribosomal RNA is filed under the name uncultured bacterium. RNAcentral's name for it is "partial 16S ribosomal RNA". It matches the Rfam family "Bacterial small subunit ribosomal RNA", at positions 524 to 776 of the family's 1533-position model. The record is from RNAcentral.
UACGUAGGGGGCUAGCGUUGUCCGGAAUCAUUGGGCGUAAAGAGCGUGUAGGCGGUCCGGUAAGUCCGCUGUGAAAGUCGGGGGCUCAACCCUCGAAUGCCGGUGGAUACUGUCGGGCUAGAGUGCGGAAGAGGCGAGUGGAAUUCCUGGUGUAGCGGUGAAAUGCGCAGAUAUCAGGAGGAACACCGAUGGCGAAGGCAGGUCUCUGGGCCACUACUGACGCUGAGAAGCGAAAGCGUGGGGAGCAAACAGG